Nothoprocta perdicaria is the source of this 952-nucleotide long non-coding RNA. RefSeq lists it as uncharacterized. The record is from RefSeq and is a predicted model, not a curated record. The transcript has 3 exons. NCBI's taxonomy places the organism in Eukaryota, Metazoa, Chordata, Aves, Tinamiformes, Tinamidae.
GAGGUUACUGCAGUCCUCUUGCUGCUCCCUGCUGAUGUGACAUGAWGCUUUUCCAUGAUCCUGCUUGGGAUUGCCCUGGGGGAAAAAGUCGUAUGCAGGGACCUGCUGAGAUUUUCUGACCGGGACAUGUGGUGGAGUCCAGUUCCUGCCAAGCUGCCUUGGACAGGRGUCACUUAAGCUGCUCUUUUGAAGAUAUGCAGACCUUGGAGUUUUAAAAUUCAGAUGGAUGACAGACACCUAGAAUGCUGUUAGAUGUGAAACUGUUAGAACUAGUAUUAACUCCUGACAGUGCAGGUCUUCAUCUAAUUGGGUCAUCUAGACCCUUCACAGUCAGUGUGGGAGACAGGAAUUAGUGGUGAUUUCUCUGCACUGCAUUAGAUGCCAAUCUCAGGAAGAAAUGACAAAUAUCCCACGGAGACAGCUUGAGCAGCUAGCUCAGAAGUGCACAUCUGCAUUGUAUGAACCUGGAUUUGGCCAGUGAAGCUCCUGAAGAGGAUGCUCACAAAGCAGUAUCUGAAAUAAGCAUGCUGACCACUGAAGAGCCUCCUCUGCAGUGGCUCACCCAGAGUGAAUGGAGGUCCAAGGCUGGUUCUUUCCCCAUGCAGGAGCUAUGUCUGCAAAACAGAGUAUCCUGCAGGGGAGAGGCACUAGCAGUGGGACCUUCAGUUGCUUCAGUUGCAAAGUACAAAGCAACAAGGAAACAGGAGGUGCCAAAACAAAGUGAUUUGCAGUGAUAUGAGCUUCCUCUCCGAUGGUCUUUGACACCUCCUGAGUGCAGAGAAGCCGUGACCGAGAUCUCGCUCUGCAGUCGAGCAACCUUUGAGCAGGGCUGGGUUUUAUAAUGGCAAACAGGYCUCCCUUGGAGUGCCUGUCCCAGAUAGCAACCCAAUGCUUUUCCCCUGAGAACUGCUAACACCAUACAGCUUAACAACUAGAAAUAACUUCCAUCAGG